UACGAAGGGGGCUAGCGUUGCUCGGAAUCACUGGGCGUAAAGGGUGCGUAGGCGGGUCUUUAAGUCAGGGGUGAAAUCCUGGAGCUCAACUCCAGAACUGCCUUUGAUACUGGUAAGCUCGAGUCCGGGAGAGGUGAGUGGAACUGCGAGUGUAGAGGUGAAAUUCGUAGAUAUUCGCAAGAACACCAGUGGCGAAGGCGGCUCACUGGCCCGGUACUGACGCUGAGGUGCGAAAGCGUGGGGAGCAAACAGG
This 253-nucleotide ribosomal RNA is filed under the name uncultured bacterium. RNAcentral's name for it is "partial 16S ribosomal RNA". It matches the Rfam family "Bacterial small subunit ribosomal RNA", at positions 524 to 776 of the family's 1533-position model. The record is from RNAcentral.